Molecule: ribosomal RNA, 837 nt
Filed under: uncultured bacterium
Lineage: Bacteria
Description: bacterial SSU rRNA
Rfam family: Bacterial small subunit ribosomal RNA
Source: RNAcentral
CCGGCGCACGGGUGCGUAACGCGUAUGCAACCUACCUUUUACUGGGGUAUAGCCCGGAGAAAUCCGGAUUAAUCCCCCAUAGUACUGACAAUUCGCAUGAUGCGUCAGUUAAAGUUUCGGCGGUAAAAGAUGGGCAUGCGUCCUAUUAGCUAGAUGGUAAGGUAAUGGCUUACCAUGGCUACGAUAGGUAGGGGGCCUGAGAGGGUGGUCCCCCACACUGGUACUGAGACACGGACCAGACUCCUACGGGAGGCAGCAGUGAGGGAUAUUGGUCAAUGGGCGCAGGCCUGAACCAGCCAUGCCGCGUGCAGGAAGAAUGUCCUAUGGAUUGUAAACUGCUUUUAUUUGGGAAUAAACCCCCCGACGUGUCGGGGUCUGAAGGUACCAAAUGAAUAAGCACCGGCUAACUCCGUGCCAGCAGCCGCGGUAAUACGGAGGGUGCAAGCGUUAUCCGGAAUCAUUGGGUUUAAAGGGUCCGCAGGCGGGCAUAUAAGUCAGUGGUGAAAGCCUACAGCUCAACUGUAGAACUGCCAUUGAUACUGUAAGUCUUGAAUUCGGUCGAAGUGGGCGGAAUGUGUAGUGUAGCGGUGAAAUGCAUAGAUAUUACACAGAACACCGAUAGCGAAGGCAGCUCACUAGGCCUGGAUUGACGCUCAGGGACGAAAGCGUGGGGAUCAAACAGGAUUAGAUACCCUGGUAGUCCACGCUGUAAACGAUGAUUACUCGUUUUCGGCGAUAUACAGUCGGAGACUAAGCGAAAGUGAUAAGUAAUCCACCUGGGGAGUACGAUCGCAAGGUUGAAACUCAAAGGAAUUGACGGGGGCCCGCACAAGCGGU